AAAGGUGGGGACCUUCGGGCCCAUCGCUUGUAGAUAAGCCUGCAUCUGAUUAGUUAGUUGGUAGGGUAACGGCCUACCAAGACCGCGAUCAGUAGCUGUUCUAAGAGGAAGAUCAGCCACAUUGGGACUGAGAUACGGCCCAGACUCCUACGGGAGGCAGCAGUGAGGAAUUUUGCGCAAUGGGAGAGAUCCUGACGCACCAACGCCGCGUGACCUAUUGAAGCUUAUAGGAGUGUAAAGGUCUGUCGUGAGGGAAGAAAAAGACCGACAAUAAUAAGUUCGGUAAUUGACGGUACCUCACAAGCAAGCUCCGGCUAACUUCGUGCCAGCAGCCGAGGUUAUACGAGGGGAGCAAGCGUUGUCCGAAAUAACUGGGCGUAAAGGGUACGUAGGCAUAUUAGUAUGUUACCGGUGAAAUUCACAGGCUCAACUGUUGACUGGCCGUGAAAACCUUGCAGAGGAUUGAAUCCCGGAAGGGGAAAGCGGAAUUCCUGGUGUAGCGGUGAAAUGCGUAGAUAUCAGGAGGAACACCAGUGGCGAAGGCGGCUUUCUGGUCCGGAAUUGACGCUGAGGUACUAAAGCGUGGGUAGCAAACAGGAUUAGAUACCCUGGUAGUCCACGCCCUAAACGAUGGAUACUUGAUGUCGGAAUGUUCGGUCGUCUCGGUGUCGUAGCUAACGUGGUAAGUAUCCCGCCUGGGGACUACGGUCGCAAGACUGAAACUCAAAGGAAUUGACGGGGGCCCGCACCAGCGGUGGAACAUGUGGUUUAAUUCGAUGCAACGCGAAGAACCUUACCUGGGCUUGACAUAUAUAUGAAGUAUGUAAGAAAUUAUGUAUUCUGUCUGCAUUUGCAGGUAGCAUAUAUACAGGUGAUGCAUGGCUGUCGUCAGCUCGUGUCGUGAGAUGUAGGGUUAAGUCCCUUAACGAGCGCAACCCUUGCUAUUAGUUGCCAUCAGGUAAUGCUGGGGACUCUAGAAGGACUGCCGAGGUUCCCUCGGAGGAAGGUGGGGAUGACGUCAAGUCAGUAUGUCCCUUAUGUCCAGGGCUACACACGUGUUACAAUGGACGGUACAGAGUGCUGCUACGUCGUGAGGCUACGCAAAUCACUUAAAGCCGUUCCCAGUUCGGAUUGGAGUCUGCAAUUCGACUCCAUGAAGUUGGAAUCGCUAGUAA
Molecule: ribosomal RNA, 1175 nt
Filed under: uncultured organism
Description: bacterial SSU rRNA
Rfam family: Bacterial small subunit ribosomal RNA
Source: RNAcentral